RNAcentral lists this ribosomal RNA (253 nucleotides) under uncultured bacterium. RNAcentral's name for it is "partial 16S ribosomal RNA". It matches the Rfam family "Bacterial small subunit ribosomal RNA", at positions 524 to 776 of the family's 1533-position model. The record is from RNAcentral.
UACGGAGGGGACUAGCGUUGUUCGGAAUUACUGGGCGUAAAGCGCACGUAGGCGGAUUUGUUAGUCAGGGGUGAAAUCCCGAGGCUCAACCUCGGAACUGCCUUUGAUACUGCAAAUCUCGAGUCCAGAAGAGGUGAGUGGAAUUCCUAGUGUAGAGGUGAAAUUCGUAGAUAUUAGGAAGAACACCAGUGGCGAAGGCGGCUCACUGGUCCGGUACUGACGCUGAGGUGCGAAAGCGUGGGGAGCAAACAGG